Molecule: non-coding RNA, 1134 nt
Organism: Vicugna pacos (alpaca)
Lineage: Eukaryota; Metazoa; Chordata; Mammalia; Artiodactyla; Camelidae
Source: RefSeq, a predicted model, not a curated record
AUGGAGAUGGUGAUGGAGUCAAUAGAGAAACUCUCCCCCUCUCCAGUAUGUUCCACUGAAGUCAUGUAGAGUAAACAGGCAUGUUUCACUGCUCAUUCUGUUGCCCAACACCAGGACCAACAGAGCCAGAAAGGAAGAUAUCAGGCCAAAGUGUUUGCAGAUAAUACAAGCUUGAUUGCUUCCUACAUUAUCUGGACCACAGCUUCCUGAAUACAUCUUUAAUUCAGUUAGGAAAAAAUAAAAAGCAAGAAUGGAAAACAAGUUCUCUACAGAAGUAUGAAUGGAAACUUUAAAUAUUCCUGGGCCUCAUUUCAGACUAAAUCAGAAUUUCUGGUCUGGAGCCUGGAAAUCAACAUGUCUACCAAACACUCUAAGGAAUUCUUCCGCAGUACACCUGAGACCAGCCCACAAUGCUAUGCUUGAGAGCCAGACACUUAAAUGAUAGGAAUGUUUUGCCCUUGUCUGCACCAUUAGAUGGCUGGCAGAAAAUACCACAUUCAUUUCUCAUGGCUGAGCUACCUGAAAUUCCAUGGCAUUCCAGGUACUGGAAAAUGGUAGUCAUUUGGAAAAUGGAAAAGAAGUCUCAGUUUCCAAAGGGAUGGGUCAUUUGGAUGAGCAGCGGUCAUGCUUUAUGGAGGUCAGUUUUUAAGAUGUGUCUGAAUUAUUAUGCAUCCAUAUUAUCAUUUGGGCUUGGUUUUAAGAAAAACUGAAAGAGAAGAAAGUAGUUUAUGUUGACCGAUUAUCUUGAAAUUUCUGGUUAUGUGGUCAAUGUUUGAAUCUACUUGAUUUCUGGACAUUAGAGUCAAAAUAACAAAUACACAUUGUCCAUUUAUUCUGUACUGGACACCUCACUAGGGCUUGUCAAACCUAGUCCUUAAAAUAAUUCUAUGAAGAAGUUAUCAUUGUCCCCAGAAGAAGAAACUGAAGCUCAGAAAAGUUAAGCAACUUGCCUUGAGUAACACAGUGUGGGUCUUGACUCGAAGUGAAGAGACUGCCGGGGCCUUGACAAGGGGUAUCACUACCAACUUCCUCGCCAGUCCAGGAUGGGCAGAGGGUGGACCCGGCUGGGGACCAGUCUCCUGAGUCUUCUCCUGUCCCCCUGACCUCUUUGGCCUGCUCCUUCCUGGGCCCAAA